AAAUCUCAGCCUUUUGGCUAAGAUCAAGCACAGUAUCUGUUCUGACCAGUUUAAUAAAUGCAUUCACUUCUAGUAAAAUUAAAAGGGUAACAACAGAGAGUAAUCCUAUACACUUGUGAGAUUACUUCUAGAUUUCCAUUCUUAUGUAGUAUUCAGGAACAUUCUGACAAGGUGGAAUGUACUUUUU
Molecule: non-coding RNA, 187 nt
Organism: Otolemur garnettii (small-eared galago)
Lineage: Eukaryota; Metazoa; Chordata; Mammalia; Primates; Galagidae
Source: Rfam